Molecule: ribosomal RNA, 709 nt
Filed under: uncultured bacterium
Lineage: Bacteria
Description: bacterial SSU rRNA
Rfam family: Bacterial small subunit ribosomal RNA
Source: RNAcentral
GCAGUCGAACGGCAGCGCGGGGCAACCUGGCGGCGAGUGGCGAACGGGUGAGUAAUAUAUCGGAACGUGCCCUGGAGUGGGGGAUAACGCAGCGAAAGUUGCGCUAAUACCGCGUACGAUCUAAGGAUGAAAGCGGGGGAUUCGCAAGAACCUCGUGCUCCUGGAGCGGCCGAUAUCUGAUUAGCUAGUUGGUGGGGUAAAGGCCUACCAAGGCAUCGAUCAGUAGCUGGUCUGAGAGGACGACCAGCCACACUGGAACUGAGACACGGUCCAGACUCCUACGGGAGGCAGCAGUGGGGAAUUUUGGACAAUGGGGGCAACCCUGAUCCAGCAAUGCCGCGUGAGUGAAGAAGGCCUUCGGGUUGUAAAGCUCUUUUGUCGGGGAAGAAACGGAUUGGUUUAAUACACUGAUCUAAUGACGGUACCCGAAGAAUAAGGAUCGGCUAACUCCGUGCCAGCAGCCGCGGUAAUACGGAGGAUCCAAGCGUUAUCCGGAUUUAUUGGGUUUAAAGGGUGCGUAGGCGGUUCUUUAAGUCAGGGGUGAAAGACGGUAGCUUAACUAUCGCAGUGCCUUUGAUACUGAAGAACUUGAAUACACUUGAGGUAGGCGGAAUGUGACAAGUAGCGGUGAAAUGCAUAGAUAUGUCACAGAACACCAAUUGCGAAGGCAGCUUACUAAAGUGUCAUUGACGCUGAGGCACGAAAGCGU